GGUAACACUGAAUGGAGGACCGAACCGACUUACGUUGAAAAGUGAGCGGAUGAACUGAGGGUAGCGGAGAAAUUCCAAUCGAACCUGGAGAUAGCUGGUUCUCUCCGAAAUAGCUUUAGGGCUAGCCUCAAGUGAUGAUUAUUGGAGGUAGAGCACUGUUUGGACGAGGGGCCCCUCUCGGGUUACCGAAUUCAGACAAACUCCGAAUGCCAAUUAAUUUAACUUGGGAGUCAGAACAUGGGUGAUAAGGUCCGUGUUCGAAAGGGAAACAGCCCAGACCACCAGCUAAGGUCCCAAAAUAUAUGUUAAGUGGAAAAGGAUGUGGCGUUGCCCAGACAACUAGGAUGUUGGCUUAGAAGCAGCCAUCAUUUAAAGAGUGCGUAAUAGCUCACUAGUCGAGUGACACUGCGCCGAAAAUGUACCGGGGCUAAACAUAUUACCGAAGCUGUGGAUUGUCCUUUGGACAAUGGUAGGAGAGCGUUCUAAGGGCGUUGAAGCAU
This 500-nucleotide ribosomal RNA is filed under the name Staphylococcus aureus. Its description in RNAcentral is "partial 23S ribosomal RNA". It matches the Rfam family "Bacterial large subunit ribosomal RNA", at positions 755 to 1258 of the family's 2925-position model. The record is from RNAcentral. Lineage: Bacteria; Bacillati; Bacillota; Bacilli; Caryophanales; Staphylococcaceae.